RNAcentral lists this ribosomal RNA (253 nucleotides) under uncultured bacterium. Its description in RNAcentral is "partial 16S ribosomal RNA". It matches the Rfam family "Bacterial small subunit ribosomal RNA", at positions 524 to 776 of the family's 1533-position model. The record is from RNAcentral.
GACGAACCGAGCGAACGUUGUUCGGAAUCACUGGGCUUAAAGGGCGCGUAGGCGGGCGAUCAAGUCGGUGGUGAAAUCCCACAGCUCAACUGUGGAACUGCCUCCGAUACUGGUUGUCUCGAGGAAGGUAGGGGCGUGUGGAACUGUUGGUGGAGCGGUGAAAUGCGUUGAUAUCAACAGGAACUCCGGUGGCGAAGGCGACACGCUGGACCUUAUCUGACGCUGAGGCGCGAAAGCCAGGGGAGCAAACGGG